This 1489-nucleotide long non-coding RNA is filed under the name Prunus dulcis (almond). Its description in RNAcentral is "sRNA ncRNA". Lineage: Eukaryota; Viridiplantae; Streptophyta; Magnoliopsida; Rosales; Rosaceae. The record is from RNAcentral.
AAGCCCACAAACAAACAACAUUUCAGGGCAGAAAGGAGAUUUCACAAUUAAGAACGAAGUGCCUACACUACGGAGCAGGGCAGGCUCACAGCCAAUCAGUUGACAAACGAUUGAAAUUUGUGGGAAGCCCCAAUUUUCGGAUUCACAAUCUCACAGCCGUUUCUUCUUGUCGCAGCCUCCUUCUCGGUCUCAGGUAAAACACUAACAUCGACGGCCGCACUUGACUCUUUUGUUUUGAUUUUUCUUUUCCGCUUAUCAUUCUCUUUGAACUAUCAAAUCGUGUUUAUAGGGUUUGUCUGAAAUGAUUUCUUUACUUUGCUAUUUGAAUCCAAUUACUUUGCGUUUCCAGUAGAUUCGAUCUGGAUUUUCGUGUUGUUUUUACUUAUCUGUUUGAUUCACCGGAAAAUGUAUGAUAAAAUUCGAUCUUGGGAUGAAGGGUUUGGAGAAAACCAAACUCUGGACCCCAGCAAGCAUGUAACACACUUGUAAAACUUUCAUGGAUUGUACAGACAGGUUUAGAUCCUAACUAAAAUAGAUUGCGUCAUGCCAAACUCAUUUUGUGGAUAAAAAUUUAUUUAUUCCUUUUUGUUCUGAAAGUUUCCCAUGGUUUUUAACUUUUUAGGCAUCCUAUCAAAAGAUUAAAUUUUGAGGCGUAAACUUUGUUGCCAAAGUGUGAUACUGGUCUGUUUAGUUAUGUUCUUGUAUACGUUUUCCUAUGGGGACACACUCCUUAUUGAUAAAGCCACAAAACUCCUAGUCCUGUUUUGGGUUCAAUCCCAGGUGGUGUCCCUUUGUUGCCCAACUUCAAACGAAGUUCUUAAAUAUGUACUGAAACUAACUUCAACUUGUUAAUGGAUUUUAUAACAGAGUAAUAUCUAAUCCUAGUUUCUGUUCCGAAAUUAGUCUGAACGAUGUUAAAUGCAUAAAUUUCAGCGUUAGUUUGAAUGCAAUAGGCUUAUUGCUUGUUGAUAUGUUUCAUUUUAGCUUUGUGCCUAAUUGUGCAAGCAUAAUGAGAAUAUGAAACUCUUCUAUUGCAGAUCAAGCGGAAUGGCUGGUCAUAAGAUUGCUCAUGCCACACUGAAAGGACCAAGUGUUGUCAAGGAGAUCUGUUACGGCAUGGUGCUUGCUUUGGCUGCUGGAAGCCUUUGGAAAAUGCAUCACUGGAAUGAGCAGAGGAAAGUGAGGGUGUUCUAUGACUUGCUUGAAAAAGGUGAAAUUAGUGUUGUUGCUGAGGAAUAGAUAGUUUCCAUCAUGAUUUGAUGGACGGCUUCAACAGUGUAUUAAUCAGUCUCUCCUUUCCAUGGCUCUUGAACUUGAGAUGAGCUUAGUUUGGGUAUUGAAAUAAUAAGUUUACCGUACUAUUGUGCGCUACAGUAUUGUUUCAAAUUAAUGUUGUUGAUAUUUGUUGCUCCCUUGUGAUUGCAUUUAUGGGAUGUUAUAUGGUUGUUUUCUAAUGAAUCAAGCGUGGUAAUUUUCAUGAGGAUUCUGC